Molecule: long non-coding RNA, 5339 nt
Organism: Bos indicus x Bos taurus (hybrid cattle)
Lineage: Eukaryota; Metazoa; Chordata; Mammalia; Artiodactyla; Bovidae
Source: Ensembl
GACCAAUCGGAAGCGAAGGCCCCCGCCCCCCGGGCCGGUGGACCGAGCUUGACCCCGGCGGUGGGCGGAGAAGGCGGGGCCAGCUGCGCGGCCGCGGAGGGGGCGGGGCCCGGGGCCUGGAGGCGGGGCCUGGGGCUGUCAGUCCCGCGCCCGCCGCUGCCGCUGAGGUUACUUAUAUGCCGUGGCUGGGUGGCUGCCGGCGCUGCCGACCGCCGUCCGCCGCCUCGGCAUCCCGAACCGCCUUCCGCCGUGCCGGGCCGGCGCGCAGGUGUUCAGGAAAAAAAUGCACAAAAUCCUGACUGACCGGAAUAAUUCAUGAAGAAGGGGCUGGAUCCGUGGGUCAGAGAACACAGGACCAGUGUGCCAUCCCAAGGCCGAAGGUAGGGGACUCUGGAUUUUUAUUCGGCUGAUGGUUGCCUCGCAUUUUAUUUAUUGUUUUUUGCCGGCGGCCGCCACGGGCAAGUGAAAUAGCGAGCUGCGAUUCCAUGUUGUCGUGGCCCUUCUUGGGCGAGGUGUCCGCGGGCAGAGGCGCGGGGAACGACCGGGUGGGCGGCUGCGGGGCCUGCGUUGCCCUCGGUGGGCUGAGCUGGCUGCCCGGUCGGGUGCCGGGGGAGCGGCGGGAGCCUCAAGUGACCCCCGCGCGUCAAUCACGGCGGCGGCGGCUGUAACCCUGUGCGCGCCGCGCGCUCGCAGCUCCUGGCGGCCAGGCUGCACCCGCGCACUGGCGGCCGGCUCUGCUCUGAACCUCAGUGGUCCGGCGGAUGCCUAGUCAGCCACAGAACCUGCAGUUUGCAGUUUCUUCAGCUGCCCUGGCUGCGGCUCCAGGAUUGUUCAGCAACCCCCAAUCCCCAGCCCCCCGCGAGCCCUCUCUGUCGCCGAAAAUGAAAUCCGAUCGGAGGAUGCUAGGUGCCCAGGCAGAUGGGAGAUCUCCAGCUCCCUGAAAUCCUAGCGCCCCUCUGCAAAUGUUCCCAAAGCAAAAUUACAACCUCGUGCCCACCCCCAAGAAAACCAAAGCAAACCCAAAGUCUUCCUCUGUUGGGGAGUCUUGCCUUACCGCUAGCAAAGCAAGUACCCCCUCUCCCAGUUGUGUCCCACAUUUUACCAUCCUUCAAAAUUAGAAACACCGCUGGUGCUAAGUGGCUUCCGCUGAGACGGUAGGAGCUGCUGGAGGACUCUUUUCCUGAGCGUGUCAGACAACCUGAACUCGCCGAGACUUGGACGAAAGUCGUGGCGAGGCGCUGGGGGCCAGGCUUAGAUUUGGUUGAUCGCGGCUUUUUUGGUUCAUGUUGCAGGUUCGCAGGUCUGGAUGAUUUCUUUGGCUCAGCCCGCCCUUGAACUUUGGGGGUCGAGGAUGCAGGCAGGAGGGUCUUCGGGGUCUGGUUGCUGGGUGAGCGGCCGCUUGGCGCUCUUUCUGCUAUACACCUCAAGUUUCGGGCCACCAUUGGAAUUUUAACCUCAGCAGUCGGCUGCUCGCCACCCCCCAGCCGUGUCUGGUGCUUCGGUUGUGGUUGUGUUAAAACUUACUUGCUUUCAGGCUGUCGGGGGAGGGGAAAAGGGGCGCCUGCGGUGUGCGCUAAACUGAUCUCCACCUAAGCGGUUCUCCAGCCCUUGUUUGCAUGAUUAUGUAAUUUCAACUAAUGAUCAGACCAUGCGCCCCAGCAGCUCCCACCAUCUCCUGGUCCUCCCCCAGACUGAAGAAGUUGGGUCCUAUGUUUAAGAUGCUUUUAUGUAACUGUAUGUAUUAGGGGGCAGGGAGAGUGUGGGAAAGAGAGAGAAUGAUUUGAGCAAUUUAUGUGUGAGGAACGGAGGUGGGGUGGGAGGCAAAAAUCACGUGUCCGUUGGGAUGAGCUUGGAAUUGGGCUUUGGGUUGGUGUUGAUCUAAAGAUCCUCCCACAUCCCUCUUGGCCAGUCAUUGCUUGUCUGGACUUUCAUGUGGUCAUUUCACCCCUGCUUCAACCCUGGAGAAGGUUGACGGUCAUCCCUGCAAGAACCCUGAGUGACUAGCUCGAUGCACAACCGGAAUCCUGAAUCCAGGGUGACCACCAGGUUCAUUUGUUUUAGGUCCUGGCUGUUCCUCGUGCUUCCUGCUAAGGGAAAGAGUUUCUGCCAUGCUUAGAGUUUCAGUUUUGCUCUGGGGUUGGGCCACACUGUAUGGCUGAAUAGCAGAACCCAGAUGCUGGCUGAGCUGCUUGACAUAUGCUCUUUAAAGUUCUGAUAACUUGCAGACACUGGAGGCCCUGUACAUUCUUGCAUUAAAUACUGUGGGAUCAUUAUUACUUUUUGCAAGGUAGGAGAACAACUGUCUCACAGAGAUAUCUGCAGGCAGAGGGGAAAAGGUGGGUAUGACACUUGGCGCUCUCUCCUUCUGUCUGUUUUAGCUAAGGCACUCACAGGACACAGAACUGUUGCAAGUUCGUAUCACACCCCUUAGUGCCUCAGCCUGGGCAGACAUUAAUUUAAUGGAAAGUCUGGCACCUUCAGGGGCUUCCCAGGUGGCACAGUUGGUAAAGAAUCUACCUGCCAAUGCAGGAUUCUCGGGUUUGAUCCCUGAAUUGGGAAGAUUCCUUUGGAGGAAGAAGGAAAAGGCAACCCACUCCAGUAUUCUUGCCUGGGGAAUUCUAUGUACAGAGGAACCAGGCACGACAUGACUGAGUGUGUGCGUGCGCGCGCGCGCGCGCACACACACACACACACACACACACACGGACUGGCCUCUUCAGCCUCAGAUGGUUUUACUGUCCUCAGCACCCCGCCCUAUCUGCUCUGAGGGCCAAUGACAAAGGGUGUGCACUUGGCAGUGGAUGAUGUGCCCACGGGCGCUGCUACUGAACUGUUUUACCCACUGUCUCAGUGGCAGCCACUCUCCUUAGAGUGGAGAAGCAUGUGCUGCCUUUGGGCUUUUGCCAAGUGAGCCAUUGAAGCACUCAAUGUGUGAAAAAUACCGGCAAGCAGAAGAUGCAUUUAGUCUGAAAUCCUGGCAGAUUCCAGACCUCGACUUGAUGGAAGAUAAUGUUAAGAAAGCUGUGUGACAACUGGAUAGCUUUUAACUUGUUUCUAACUUGCUUUGUGAGUUCUCUGAUGCCUCUCAGGUCCUUUUCUGCUCUCCAAGCUGCCCAUCAAGGAGACUCAGACAUGCUGUUCUUCAUUCUCUUUCUGGUGAAAUCAAAGCAUAUUUAUAAAUCAGCAGAUAAAUAAGCAGGGCAGGAAACGCUGGCUAUAUGAAUAGACAGCACUGGUAUUUCAGACCAGAGUUAGACAAAGCCCUUGACCAAAGUCAUUCUUCAUUCUGUAAAGAGGGUGUCACCAUGAUAGCCUUACUGAGUGCAAUGAAAUAUCUUUAAAAGAAAAUGAGUUGGGCUAAAAAGAAGCAUGUCCCCUAUAGUCGCUGGGUGUUAGGAUGAUACCAUGACCAUCUGGACUGCACAUUGAUAGAGUGUCACUUAUCCAGUUGGGACCUAAGUGGUAAAGCAAGACAGAUGUCAUAAGACAUGAGCUCAGGUCAGGUAUUAUAGCCAUUGGAAAAUUUCAGUGCAGAAAACUUCAUGCCCUCUUGCAGGAUUCAUUUACACAAAGUUCUAAGAGGCUCUGUGAUUAGUUUGCAAAUACACCCAGCAAAUUGGACAAGAUUGAUAAACUAGUGUACAAGGGUUCUAAUAUAGUUCUUUUGUAAAACAUCACUAAGAAGUAUCAGUAAUGUAAGACAGAAAUACUGAACAAGUUUAAAAUAAAAUUUAAAAGGCACGGGAAUUCAAAGCAUAGAAUUUAAUAUAAGUAUUUAAUGGGAGCAAUUCAGUGAAAUUUUAUGCAUUUUGAUGGGUCUUCAGAACUCUGUUUUGUAGCUUAAAAACUGAUGCUUACCGUGACCUAUAUGCACCAAGAGGAGUUUAAUUGACUUUUUGUGUGAGCGGUUUCAAAAAGCAUAAGAAUUUGAAGUAUACCCCUAAUGACUUUUUUCUUUUUUUUUUCCUAAUGACUUUUUUCAACAUGAUGCUAAAAGAAAAAAACUUCAUUUAUGCAGGACAACAGAAUAUCUGAGUUUUCUGGACAGCCAAGGACUUACUGAUCAAAAUUAUAACUGUAAUCACCCCCCUCACUGAAAUUAAUUGAGAACUGUAUGAUAUUUUGCUGAAAUUUGGCAGGAAACUAUUAUGCUAGAAUUAGUAGUGCUUAUGUUCUCACAUUUGAUGUUGUAGAAAAUUCUAAGAAGGAGGCAUGGGAGCCUCAGCCUGUCUUGUGACCAGAGACACACUUAGAACUUUCCAACUUGGCAACUUUAAUGCUGGAAAUAAUUGGAAGAGACUGGAUAGUGGAAAAGAUGAAGUAGGAGAGGUGUGUGUUUCUUAUGUCAAUGUAGGGAGUGUGGACUCCCCACCACCAGUGUGCUGUUAAAAAAGUUCAAGGUGUCAUGACAACACCCUCAUGUUAAACUGUGUUGUUGGCUCAAUUCAGACAUGGUGCUCAAAACUGGAAGGAUGUGUGAGUUACACAAGCAGUGCUAAGCUUUGUCUAACCCUCUGCCAAUUUGCUUAGUUACAGUGUAUUCCAAGACGAAGGCAACAGGAAAAUCAAAAGUAGAAGAAAAUGAAUGCUGACACUUUUUAAAGAGUACUGUUUUUUAAGUUUAAUGCGUAUGUUGAAAAAUGUGAAGACCCUAAUUAAAAGGAGCGGAAGAGUCUGUCUUGGUUUCUAGACACACAGAAAUUCAUCAUUUUGGUAAAUUAUUUGAAAAAAGUUUUGAACUUGUUAAAAGAAAUUGUCAGUAACAGGCCUUUGAAUAUAAUCAGAAAUGUUCAGAACUAGCCAAAGUUUCUAUGUAUAUAAGCAAAAGGAUACUGAUGUAGUAAGAUGGAUAAAACACUAUUCUCUGAAAUUCCUAGGGGCUUGAAAGGCAGAGGAGGUAGGAGUUCGUUGUGGUUGGUUGGUGGUCCUGGGGUAACUGAAUCACUCUCUCCAAGGGGCUGCCCGCUUGGGAGGAUCACAUCUGGGAACUGGGCUUGGGCUAUUGAUCUGGUCUGUCCAUGAAAAACAUGCAUGCAUGAGAGAUGUGAUUCCUCUCUUUGUUACUUUUAAAAAAUACCAGGUGUGACUGGUCACCAUCUGAAAAAAAAAGAAGGGUGGAGCUUUACAUCUAGAUGUUCAGUAGAGGUGAACUGAGAAUGUAUCUUAGAUUCAAGUAGCGAAGCCAGGGAAAAGCAUACAGAAGUCAAUCUCAAGAAUCUUGGAGCUCUCUGGAUGUCCAUGGGUCCUUGAAUUGGAGGUCAGGGCCAACAUUUAAAAAAAAUGAGUACUAUACAUGACUGGGAUCCAAAGAAAAACUUGUAAACAAAAAAUAGAGAUGG